ACUUUGGGCCUUUUCUUGUGUCUCGGUUGUAAAGGCAUGCCAGCUACAGCAUUCGAGAGGGCCGUUCUUUAACAAAAGGAAAGAGAUAAAUGUAAAUAAGCUCACAUUUUCAGAAGGAGCAGUUUGCUGUAAGAAGCUUCAGCAGCCAGAGUCUGCUACUUUGGGCUGGGAUAAACUUUCCCUGUAAAAAAUAGUAAUAGAUCAAAAUAUGCACUUCUAAAGUGCGAGUUUCCCGUUUACAUGUUUAUUACCUAAUUGUCUACAGGCAUGAGCACACUCUGUCAUCUAGCACACUCUUUCUUGGGGAAUACUGGUCUCUGGAGGAGUGUGAAAAUCAAUUCUCCUUAAUGUUAAGCAUCCAUUGGAGGAAAUCUCUAACCACAGUACCUCCAGAAAGUUCAUUGAUCAACCAAGUCUUGGAUAAAAUUAGUGCCAGAAUUUGGUUUGAACUAAUGUGGAGGAAAACAUUUCCUACCAGCCUUUAGUCUCAGAGUGCUGAACCCUGCAGUCUGCAGGCCUCCUGAAUAAAAGUCCAUGGGUGACAGAAGAUUCAUUGACUUCCAAUUCCAAGAUUUAAAUUCAAACCUCAGACCCAGGUUGGGCAAUGCUACUGCCAAUAAUACUUGCAUUGUUGAUGAUUCCUUCAAGUAUAAUCUGAAUGGUGCUGUCUACAGUGUUGUAUUCAUCCUGGGUUUGAUAACCAACAGUGCAUCUCUGUUCGUCUUCUGCUUCCGCAUGAAAAUGAGAAGUGAGACAGCUAUUUUCAUCACCAAUCUGGCCCUCUCUGAUUUGCUCUUUGUCUGCACUCUACCUUUCAAAAUAUUUUACAAUUUCAACCGCCACUGGCCUUUUGGUGAUACCCUCUGCAAGAUCUCUGGGACUGCAUUCCUAACCAACAUCUAUGGGAGCAUGCUCUUCCUUACCUGUAUUAGCGUGGAUCGUUUCCUGGCCAUUGUCUAUCCCUUCCGAUCCCGUACCAUUAGGACCAGGAGGAAUUCUGCCAUUGUGUGUGCUGGAGUCUGGAUCCUAGUCCUCAGUGGUGGUAUUUCAGCCUCUUUAUUCUCCACCACUAAUGUCAACAAUGCAACCACCACCUGCUUUGAGGGCUUCUCCAAACGUGUAUGGAAGACAUAUCUGUCCAAGAUAACCAUAUUUAUUGAAGUUGUUGGUUUUAUCAUUCCUUUGAUACUGAAUGUCUCUUGCUCUUCUGUGGUGCUAAAAACCCUCCGUAAGCCUGCUACAUUGUCUCAAAUUGGGACUAAUAAGAAAAAAGUGCUGAAGAUGAUCACAGUGCAUAUGGCAGUCUUUGUGGUAUGCUUUGUACCCUAUAACUCUGUUCUCUUCCUGUAUGCCCUGGUGCGCUCCCAAGCCAUUACCAAUUGCUUGUUGGAAAGAUUUGCAAAGAUUAUGUAUCCAAUCACCUUGUGCCUUGCAACUCUAAACUGUUGCUUUGACCCUUUCAUCUAUUACUUCACCCUUGAGUCCUUUCAGAAGUCCUUCUAUAUCAAUACCCAUAUCAAGAUGGAGUCUCUGUUUAAGACUGAAACACCUCUGACCACAAAGCCUUCCCUUCCAGCUAUUCAAGAGGAAGCUAGCGAUCAAACAACACAUAAUGGUGGUGAAUUAAUGCUAGAAUCCACCUUCUAGGUACAAGAAGUCCCUUUAGGUCCAGAUAUAGUUUCUUCUAUGAUUUUCCUAUGCUUUGAAUAAAAAAUUUGAAGCUAAUGAUAUUGAGAAUAGAUUAAUGUACUGAAUAUAGUCAGAUACAUUUAUUUGAAUGUUUAUUGUAAUACAUAUAUUGUUUUGUUCGAUAAUUAUAGGUCACAUCUAAUUACAACAGCCAGAAGGAAUUGCCAAACUCUUCUUCUGGGUUGGAAAUUCAUUGUACCACAUUAUAUAAGUCAACAGUAGCCUUGACUUCAGUGAUAUAGAGUUUACUUAAAAACUUUGAAAAAAUAUAUUUCCAUUCCAAUAUUUGGUAAUUAGUUUGGGCCUAUAAAUAUAGAACAAAUUCAGGUAUUUUUUUUUUAAACAACCUUUUGUGUUACUACUGAUAUAUACUAGUCUUUUUUUGCUUUUUGAAUUGUCAUUGAGUUUAUUUUAGUACAAGAACAUACUUUAGUUUAACAUUAUUAAUAAAAAAGUAUCAAAUUUAAAAAAGUUAGUAAAAUGUAUUGUAUAUAUUUUAAAAGCAGAAACAUAAAUUGUGUUUGUAUAAAUAUUGCUGGGAAGAAAUGGAAAAUUUCUGGAUUUACAUAUUUGCAGUUACCAGCAGUGUCAGCUUUUAAAAACUUUUCCUUUUUUAUACUAUAUUAAAUUUCUUAUAUGAAAUGUCAAAUCCAGAAAGCUGCUAAAUAUGUGCCCAAAACAGGGCAAAAUGGAAAAUCACAUAAAACAGCAAAUGUUCAUAAAAAACUAAGAGAAAUUAACAUUUUCUCUAAGAAUUUUCAAUUAUUUUUCUUUUGGGAGACUAAUUUUUAUAAAUAUUCCAUAUGUGAAAUUUUGAAGCACAGUGCAACCAUAAAGCUUCUGCAUUUGUGCCCAGGUCAGAAGCAAAUUGAAAAAAAAAAGGGACAAAAGUAUAACAAAAAUAUAAUAAUAAAACAAAAAACUUUCUUAAAACUUGCAUCAAUCAUUUUUUGAGGGAGGGAGCAGAGAUCUGUAAAUUACUUAUGCUUUCAUAUUAAUUUUGGAGCACAAUGUAGCCAGAGAGCUGCUGAAUUUGUGCCCAGGUUUGGAGCAUAUUGAAAAAAAAAAUACAUAAACCAAACUAAACCAAUGCAAACAAACAAACACACACAAAAAGAAAACCUGUAAAACAAUAAAAACCACAAAAAUAUUCCUAACACUUGCAUUAAUAUUUUAUUUAUUAUUUGAGUAUAUGUAAAUUUUAAAUUACUGUAUUAUUUGUAUAAAAUUUUAGAGUACAAGUAGAAAUCCAGUACAUUUGUGCCCAAGUCAGGACCUAAUUGGAAAAAAAUAAAAGCAAAAUAACUCCUUAGAAAACAAUAACAACAACAACACACACACACACAAAACUUAGAACUUUUCUUUUCUGAGCAUUUUUAAGACUUAAAAGAUACUAUAACUUUCUUAAGAUGCUUUGAAUUAAAAUGCAACUAGGAAGUUACUAAACUGGCAUCUACUUCAGGAGCAAUUAAAAUCAAUAUUUUAAAGUAUAUACAAAGAAACUUUUUGUAACUAAUUUAAACAACAAAAGCAGCAAAAACAUCUUUAGAAUCUCUUACCAUUGAUUGAAUGAAGUAUAGAUUUAAGAAUAUUAAAACCUUAAAACUUCUGAGCAUGGUAUAGCUUGAAAGAUUUAUGCUCAGGUAAGAAGUAGUGAAAAUAAAUAUCCUGCAUACAUACUACAGACAAAUACACACAUAAUUAAAGCACUGCAAAACAAAACCAAAAUAUUCUUAAAGUAUGUUUUAAUCAAUUUUUAAAAUUAUUUAGAAAUGUGAUAAUUUUAAAAUGCUAAGACUUCUUAAGUAAAAAUUUCAGAAACAACACAUUUUGUAAGUUGCUGAACUUGCACCAGGGAGUGAUUUAAAAAAGAUUAAAAACCAUAAAAUAUUGGCAAAAAAUUAAAACUUUUAAAGCAAUAAGCUAAUUGUUAAAACUCUUAUUAACCUUUGUCUUUCAGAUAUGUGAAGUUACUCAGUCGUGUCUGACUCUUUGUGAUCCCAUGGACUGUAGCCCACCAGGCUCCUCCAUCCAUGGAAUUCUCUAGGCAAGAAUACUGGAGUGGGUUGCCAUUUCCUUCUCCAGGGGAUCUUCCCGACCCAGGGAUCGAACCCGGGUCUUCUGCAUUGCAGGCAGACGCUUUACCAUCUGAGCCACCAGGGAAUCCCACAUAUAUGUAGAUUAAAAAUACUAAAAUUUUAAGAUAAAAAUUCAUGAGCAUAAUGUAACUCUUAAAAACCGCUAAAUCUGUGCCUGGACUAGGAACUGAUUGAAAAAAAGGCUAAAACAAUAGAAAAAUAAUAAAACAGAAUUCUUAAAAUGGUAUUACUUUUUCUUCACGAUCUAAAUUCCUAAAAAUAAUCAGGCAUUAUAUUGUCUCAUGAAAACAAGUUAUAGAUAGAAUAUGUAAGACAUUAGAUUAAGUUAGAUGAAAUUAGGUUAAGUUAGGUAAAGUUUGGUUGUUAGGUUAUAUUGUAAGAUCAAAUUAGUUAUCAAAGUAUGAAUAAUAUUUUUGUUUCUUUUAGUAUUCUUUAUCUUCUGUUUCUUAUAAAUAUAAACUAUAUGUGAACUUUUGUUUGUGCCCUUUACUCUCAAAAUUAUGAAAUUUUAGGAUUAUUACACCAAACCAUUUAAUAGAAUAUAUUAACCAAGUUGACAUAUAUCAAUAAACCAAUUUCUUACUGUAUAAUUUCCAUAUUUAGUUUUGUUCACUUUUCCAUAUUUCAAUUUAUUUUAAUUUCAAAUUUUAUAGUUAAUAUAGCUUGCUAAUGAUAAAUUUUUUGUCAUAUUAACAAUGUAACCAAACAAAAUGUAAUGUAAGCUAAAUAUAAAAUUACCUUUUAUUUUACAUUUAAAAGCAAAAGCAAUCAUUCAACUGUAGCUACAACUUGGAUUUUAAGUGCUUAUUAAAUGUAAUAAAAUACAUUUGGAUUAUCUAGCAGUU
Molecule: transfer RNA, 4633 nt
Filed under: Bos indicus x Bos taurus (hybrid cattle)
Lineage: Eukaryota; Metazoa; Chordata; Mammalia; Artiodactyla; Bovidae
Description: lncRNA (ENSBIXG00005024182.1)
Source: RNAcentral